Molecule: ribosomal RNA, 397 nt
Filed under: uncultured bacterium
Lineage: Bacteria
Description: partial 16S ribosomal RNA
Rfam family: Bacterial small subunit ribosomal RNA
Source: RNAcentral
AUACGUAGGGGGCGAGCGUUGUCCGGAAUGAUUGGGCGUAAAGGGCGCGUAGGCGGCGCGGUAAGUCUGGAGUGAAAGUCCUGUUUUUAAGAUGGGAAUUGCUUUGGAUACUGCCGCGCUUGAGUGCAGGAGAGGUUAUCGGAAUUCCCGGUGUAGCGGUGAAAUGCGUAGAGAUUGGGAGGAACACCAGUGGCGAAGGCGACUUACUGGACUGUAACUGACGCUGAGGCACGAAAGUGUGGGGAGCAAACAGGAUUAGAUACCCUGGUAGUCCACACUGUAAACGAUGAAUGCUAGGUGUAGGGGGUAUCGACCCCUUCUGUGCCGCAGUCAACACAAUAAGCAUUCCGCCUGGGGAGUACGGCCGCAAGGUUGAAACUCAAAUGAAUUGACGGGG